AUUCAUUGUCAAUAAAACAAAAUAAAACACAAGAUGAAGACGAUCAUGAGGAUGAAGAUGAUUAUGAGCAAGAUGA
Molecule: transfer RNA, 76 nt
Filed under: Shewanella putrefaciens
Lineage: Bacteria; Pseudomonadati; Pseudomonadota; Gammaproteobacteria; Alteromonadales; Shewanellaceae
Description: tRNA-Thr
Source: RNAcentral